UGAGGAAUAUUGGUCAAUGGGCGCGAGCCUGAACCAGCCAAGUAGCGUGAAGGAUGAAGGUCCUAUGGAUUGUAAACUUCUUUUAUAGCAGAAUAAAGUGACCCACGUGUGGGUUUUUGUAUGUAUGCUAUGAAUAAGGAUCGGCUAACUCCGUGCCAGCAGCCGCGGUAAUACGGAGGAUCCGAGCGUUAUCCGGAUUUAUUGGGUUUAAAGGGUGCGUGGGCGGAAAGAUAAGUCAGCCUGUGAAAGUUUGCGGCUCAACCGUAAAAUUGCAGUUGAUACUGUUUUUCUUGAGUGUACAUAAGGUUGGCGGAAUUCGUGGUGUAGCGGUGAAAUGCUUAGAUAUCACGAAGAACUCCGAUUGCGAAGGCAGCUUACCGGGGUACAACUGACGCUGAUGCACGAAAGUGUGGGUAUCAAACA
This 423-nucleotide ribosomal RNA is filed under the name uncultured bacterium. RNAcentral's name for it is "bacterial SSU rRNA". It matches the Rfam family "Bacterial small subunit ribosomal RNA", at positions 355 to 774 of the family's 1533-position model. The record is from RNAcentral.